This 253-nucleotide ribosomal RNA is filed under the name uncultured bacterium. Its description in RNAcentral is "partial 16S ribosomal RNA". It matches the Rfam family "Bacterial small subunit ribosomal RNA", at positions 524 to 776 of the family's 1533-position model. The record is from RNAcentral.
UACGAAGGAUUCGAGCGUUAUCCGGAUUUAUUGGGUUUAAAGGGUGCGUAGGUGGAUUAAUAAGUCAGUGGUGAAAGCCCGCAGCUCAACUGCGGAACUGCCAUUGAUACUGUUAGUCUUGAGUACAGUUGAGGUGGGCGGAAUGUGUCAUGUAGCGGUGAAAUGCUUAGAUAUGACACAGAACACCGAUUGCGAAGGCAGCUCACUAAGCUGUAACUGACACUGAGGCACGAAAGCGUGGGGAGCAAACAGG